This is a long non-coding RNA of Drosophila sechellia, 5311 nucleotides long. RefSeq lists it as uncharacterized. NCBI's taxonomy places the organism in Eukaryota, Metazoa, Arthropoda, Insecta, Diptera, Drosophilidae. The record is from RefSeq and is a predicted model, not a curated record. The transcript is spliced from 3 exons.
AGCCGCUCGGGUUGCCAAAAGAACAGUUAGCCAGCAAUUCUCCGGAGAAUCGAAUGGAAACGAUUCUUCUGGGAAACGAACUCGUGACCGCCCACGUGUCCUACGUUCUACUCUAACUUAUAAGAACUCUAUCACCAUUUGCGUGUUUUUUCUGUGCGCCAAAGAGCCAAACGUUUUGAGUUUCAGAGAAAAUUAGAUGUUCGCAAAAAAUUAACUUAAACAUUUUCCGACAGUGUACUUGAGUGCUUGUGUUUGUGCCACCGAGUGUCUGUGUGAUUGCCAAUGUUUUUUUGUGGCCUUCAGCUUCAAUUUCUUGAGGGAAAAUCACAACGACUUCUGGGGACCCCCAAAAAGGCAGACGUCAGUCGUAACCGUACUCUUUGCUAGAGCGGCCAAACCCCGGAGAGCCAAAGAUCCGAAGACCCCAAAGAAUUGGAAGAGGAACUCGGUGGAACCACAAAGGCAACAUGUUGCACAUGCACUCGGCAAAAGCAAUUUGCAUACAAAUGUUGCCAACGCACUUCAAAAACUGCACAAUCACAGGGGUUUUUUUUGGUGGGGGGUUGGUGCAGCGGAAAAGGGUAAAAGCCGCUUCAUAAUUUGAUAUUAAACAUGCACGCGUGUCUCCUUCUCUUUUUCUCCCAUGUGUGCAACUUGUAAAUUUGCAAAUUGCUAAAACGCAUGACAGGAACAAAGGGCGAGGAUCUUAAUGGUGGGGAAACUGGGGGCAGACUAUCGGGCAGCUGUGUGAAUUUGCAUUUACAUCAAGGAACCGCAGGACAGGAAAAGAACUGCAAAAACUUACCCAAAAUUCAGUCUCACAAGAAAACUGAAUAAAAAAAAGUGCAGUUUGCCCAAUUGACUUUCAAUUGCAAAAUAUACAAAAUGCAUUGGGAAAAAUAGCAGAGUUCAAGGCGAAAAGAACUGCUAUAUUUUAGCCCGUUUCUUUCAGUGUCUCUUUGAAUAAAAAAGGCAAGCCCAAAUGAAUUUAUUUUCAAUUUUAUUUUCAAUCUGCUUUGUGUCCGUCAUAUGAUUGACAUGGUCGAUUGAACUGGCAAACGAGUGAGGGAGUGGAACGAUACACAUAUCGUUUAUUUUUGGCAGCAAGUGUUUGCAUUCGAUUUGCAGUUUUGUUAAUACUGCACUCGAAAAUACCUGACACACCUCCUCAAACUCAACCAAAAAUGCGAGGGCUCUUGAAACCAAAAUCUCCUCCGGAGUCUUAAUAAGCUGGUUGCAAAAAAAGAAGUACACACUUUUUAUAUCAGAUCUGUGCACGCAAUUGAAUGUACCAUACUCUUAUUUCGGGCUGCACAUAUAAAUCAUAUUUAUGAGACAUUUCCCCAGCAGGGAAAAUACGAAAUGGAAAAAAAAAAGAAAAACAUAUGAAUGUUAAAUAGGCACGCAAUGUGCGAAAGGGAUGGCCACAAAAUGCGUCACUCCCCCCAAUUCGCCUGACUUUUCCUUAACGAAGGAAAACAAUAAUCAAUAAGUAAUACAACUGGGAAACUCACCCCCGCCGACUUAGUCGUAUUUCCUCCCUCUCGCUCAUAUGUGUUACAAUUUUUGUUGCCCUCAGCCUGGGUAGUUCAUAACUUUUCUCUCAUGUGUGUGCGUGUGUUUUUGUGUCUGUGGUGGUUUUCCUUGGUUCUUGGCCAGGACUUCAGGCGUUUGACAGCCAUGUUUGUCCUUCACACACACACACACACACCCACACAUGAUUGUAGGCGUCUCCUUGUGGCGGCACCCCCAAAAAAAGCAGGAAAAAAGAAAAAGUGUGGCGGAAAAGUGUGCCACAAACUUUUCGCCCGAAAAAAGUUUGUCUGCUGGCACAGAUCUAUGUGUAAAUGAGCGAGAUAACAAACAUUCGCAAAUUUUCCAGACAAUACCUCUUUUUUGCACUCUAAUCGUACACAUAAAAAAAUUUAAUCUUUUUUAUACAUUCUUAAUUAAAGCUUUUAUAUAUUAAUAUCAAAUUAAUAUUUAUAUAUAAACGUUAUUUUAAAAUGCGUUCUCCUUAUAAAGAUUGAUGGCUUAAAACGUGCUUUUUUAAAAUGCAAUAAAUAAAUCACUUCCAAAAUUUUCCUCUGAGUGUAAUCAACCUUUUUUUUGGCUUGUUAAAGAGUUGCCGAAAAACAAAUUGGAAAAAUUUGGUUAGACUUUGGGUUCGUUUCAGUUUUGGGCCCAGCUGAUUUAUUGUCAUAAAUUUCAUUGAAAUUCAUGAGGCUCUUGGAAGAACCUCAAUAAUGUAAAAAACGGGGCGUGGCCUAAAUGAUGUCCGCAUAUGUGUGUGUGUGUGUUGCUGCGCCUACGCAACGGCCCAAAAGAUUUAUUUCAAUGGAACGAAGAAAUUAUAAUAUUUUCUAACUUCUAUCAUUGAAAAAGAACUAUAAAAGAAAUACAUACUAUUCUGUGGGGCGAUUAUGAAAAGAGCUGUUGAUGUAUGAAUUGUAUGGGCCUCUCAUAAAUCUAGAGACCCUGUCAAGGUGUCCAAUACGUUUUUCUGGCCUGUCCGUGUGUUUGUGCCUCAAGUGGCAGUCAUAAAUUUGAGAUUUAUGUUCAUCUCUCUUUUCGAUUUUGUUGUUUUUUUGGUAUAUUUUUUUUUUUUUGUGUCCAUUUACCAUUUUUUUGGUUUUGGUCAAUAGAACCUGCCACAAAGCACAGUUCUUUACUCGCUUGUUAAUUAAAUGCGAUUGCAUCAUCGCAUCUUUCAGCUGUCCAUCUACUGUGCACAAUGGGGGUUAAGCAAAUAAGUACACCUAUGUGCUAAAUAUAGAUUAAUUCGAAUUUUUAUAUUACACUAGUUUUUAUAGUUUGCUCUUUUUUGUAAUUAUGUUAAAAGCGGAUUUUGUUAGUUUGUUUUUUCUCUGGAGUUAAUGUUACUAAUUUGUUGACCCUUGCUGUAGAUAUCUCUAUUCCAUUUUAUCAAGCUAUGACUGGACAGAAAUUGUCGCUAAUCGCUGCUCAUGUACCCCAAGACAUGCCGCAUUUGUCUUUGUCUUUAAUUUUUCGGCUUUGCCUGCUCUGACACAUUUUUCUUAUGAAUUUUCAGUAUUUUCCCCCGACUCACUAAUUUUUCGUGGCGUGUUUGUUCUGACCGCCAAAAUUGCUUGUCCAACAUUUGUUGAACAUGUUUUUGUACUUUGUUUCGGUUAUUUUUUAACAUUUUUUUUUGGGCGAACCAACAACGAACUACACGCAAGUGCUGAAGAUUUUUAGGCAGAUCCGUUAAACAUCAAAAUCAACUUUUUCAAGCUCAUUAAACAAUCAGGGAAAAAAAGUAAAAUAAAGCCAAACGUUGACCUUCAAAAACGCAACGCAACCAAGCGAAAAUGGCAACAAAAAAAAAAGAUUAAAUACAUAAUACGAAAAAUAACAAAAGUCAGAGCCGCUUGGAAACAGGUUGUUGUUUCGUUCUCUCUAUUGUUAACAUUUUAUUAUGCUUUUUUCAAGCGGAAAGCAACAAAAGGCCCGAAAACUUUUGCACUUUUGCGAUUAUUUACGAUCGAAAUACAUUUCUCUGCCGAUUUUUGACCUUGCAGUUGUUGCACUUAACACGUGCCAGAAAUUGAUAAUGAAAGAACGCGUUUUCAGGUGUUAAUCACACUUCGAGCUAUAAAAAAAACAUGCGAAAAAAGCAUAAAAAAAAGCCCGCUAAAAAAGUAAGGCCCGCAAAAGGCGCCAAAAAUAUUUCGACGACGAACGACACAGACUAAAUUUACAAUCAGAAGUGUCGAUAUUCGUAAAACUACUCGUCAAAUACUCUUUUGGUAAAAUCUUAAGAUUUGGUCAAAUUUUUAAAACUUUUUAUCGGAUAUUUUACAAAACGUGCAAAAAUCUUAUUGUACAUUAUGUACAUGAGUAUAUACAUAGGUAUUUAUUGAUAACUUAACCUUAUACUUAUGUACAUACAUAUAAUCGCAAAUUCACCAAAGUAUCUUCACCAUACCCUAUAAUACUCUACAUGUGAAAUAUUCUAAUCAUAAAUGGAAGUUUGCUGCGAUGACGAAGAGUUUGCCUAUUGUAGAUUUUUAUUUGCCCAUGGCUUUUGUUGCUUUUCUUGUGGGCACUUCAAAAGUCGUGUGCGCUUUGUUGUUGUGUUUGUGGUGUUUGGUUGUUGUAUAUCGCUUGUUUACUUUUACGGUAAAUGCGAAAAGCAACAACACUAAGGACUACAAAAAAGCGCGCGCUCGUCGCGCGUAUCUGGAUGAAUAUCUGUGAAAAUACACUUGAGGCCAAGCUACCGCACAGUGGGCGCCAUACAAAUACGGCACUAUAGAGAAAUUUUAGUGGAAUUAAAAAAUUAAAAACAUUCCAUUAAAGGAAAGAAAAUUACACAUAUUCUACUGAUAAUUUGCUGUAACUAAACGAUUGCUUGCUGUUAGUCUAGUUAGUUACUUAAAACUGUUAAAAAAGUUCAAUAAUUGCUCUAAAUCGAAUUUGUUACUUUAAGAUACUUUUAUAAAACAAAUUUUAUUUUUUAUAUAACUCCCAAUAUCGUGCCCUCACCUGUUCCUGUUUUUGUUGCUGCCUUUUCCAGCGGAGGCAACGACCAACAAUAACAACAAGCAACAGCAACAAUAACAACCAGCGCAGAAGACGCAACGCAAAAAAUCGUAAACAGAUCAUCGAACUUCGCUGUUGUGUUGUUGCUCCUGUUGUUGUUGCUGUUUGUUGGCCUUGAGGUGCCUCAAAAAUUAUAGAUUUUUUUUCCGGUGCAAGCCUUUUUUUGCGGCUUAAAACCAUUUUAUUGUUUCAUUAAUUGAAAGUCGCUUUUUUAUAUAUAUAUUUUUUAAUUUUACUGCCGUUUUGGUGAUAUUAAUAGAGUUGACAAAGCGUUCGGCGCCCACGCAGCAAGCAGCGACGCUGACGUCGGCAGAGCUGCUUUCACCGCUGCUUGCGUCAUGUUGAGCGACAAAGCUGCAACGGCGACAAAGCAGCAACCAAUAUGCAGUCGCUGGCUUUGCAUGUGAGGGUGUGUGCAGUACAGCCGCUAUAAGUGUGCAAUUCACCACCUGAGAAAACCACCAUCGCCGCCGAAGCAAAGAAACCCACCACGGCAGCGACAUCGAACAUCGACGAACAUCGUCGAACCUCGCAUUUCGAGUUAUUUUCUGCGAGACUUCGCUGCGUUUUUUUCAGUUGAGUUCCGGAGCUCCAAAGCCGCGCAUCAAUCGCUCGCAUAUAGCAUCGUGUUUUCGCAUUCGCGUGACUUGACAAAAAUUCGUAAAAAUUGAGAAACAAUUUACAAGUGAUGAACAAAAAUAAACUUAAACUUUUAAGUUUAUUAAAACAAUCAAAUAAUACACAG